GGAAUAAAGAUUUUGCUAUUAUCAUAGUUCUCCAUAAAGGACUUGAAAAAAGUAUCUCUCAUCCUAGGGAUGAAGAUCUAUAGAGAUAGAUCUAAGAGGCUGCUUGGAUUUUUUGAGUCCAACAUACAUAGGAUGUUUAUGAGUAGAAUUUAUUCUAUCAUGUACACCAUGUAUGAGAAUCGGAUAUGAUAUACUCAUUAAGAUAGUGAGUGGAUACUUACA
RNAcentral lists this long non-coding RNA (222 nucleotides) under Elaeis guineensis (African oil palm). RNAcentral describes it as "long non-coding RNA (EGUI_LNC053021)". Lineage: Eukaryota; Viridiplantae; Streptophyta; Magnoliopsida; Arecales; Arecaceae. The record is from RNAcentral.